Non-coding RNA from Mycena latifolia, 93 nucleotides. NCBI's taxonomy places the organism in Eukaryota, Fungi, Basidiomycota, Agaricomycetes, Agaricales, Mycenaceae. The record is from the annotation of a GenBank genome assembly.
GGUCUGAUGGCAUAGUGGUAACACGCUCCAUCUGCAUAAACUGGCGGGAAACUGAUAAAUGGAGAGAUCGGAGUUCAAUUCUCUGCUGAGCCA